ACAAGACUUGAUGCUGGCCGUAAUGGCAUGUGCUCGGUCUUACCUCAAUCCAUUAACACCUGUGCACUUUCAAAGUUGUAGUCCUCCGUAAUGGGAGCUGUAUCUUGUAAUGAGGUACUGGGACUACGCUUUGUCUUAUCACAAACCAUUACUAUUGUCAUGUAGAAUGUCAUUAGCCUAAGGGCUUAAUAUGAAACAACUUUCAACAACGGAUCUCUUGGCUCUCGCAUCGAUGAAGAACGCAGCGAAAUACGAUAAGUAAUGUGAAUUGCGGAAUUCAGUGAAUCAUCGAAUCCUUGAACGCACCUUGCACUCCUUGGUAUUCCGAGGAGUAUGCCUGUUUGAGUGUCAUUAAAUCAUCAAAUUGCUUUUGCUUUUGUGAAGGUUGAUUUGGAAUUGGAGCUUGCUGGUCCUUACGGAUUGGCUUCUCUCAAAUGCAUUAGCUGGACUUGUAUCUGCAGCGUUACGUGUGGUGUGAUAAUAUCUUCACUGCAUAGCUCAGAAUGAAGAUUGGCUUCUAAUCGUCCGUCACUGGACAACUUUUGACAUUCUGACCUCAAAUCAGGUAGGACUACCCGCUGAACUUAAGCAUAUCAAUAA
This 600-nucleotide ribosomal RNA is filed under the name Lyomyces sp. 11 MPM-2012. Its description in RNAcentral is "eukaryotic LSU rRNA". The stretch from base 198 to 351 matches the Rfam family "5.8S ribosomal RNA". Lineage: Eukaryota; Fungi; Basidiomycota; Agaricomycetes; Hymenochaetales; Schizoporaceae. The record is from RNAcentral.